Molecule: non-coding RNA, 29 nt
Filed under: Mus musculus (house mouse)
Lineage: Eukaryota; Metazoa; Chordata; Mammalia; Rodentia; Muridae
Source: RNAcentral
GGACAUCUCAGAUAGUGAUUCCUCACCCA